AGAGUUUGAUUCUGGCUCAGGAUGAACGCUGGCGGCGUGCCUAACACAUGCAAGUCGAGCGAUUCUCUUCGGAGAAGAGCGGCGGACGGGUGAGUAACGCGUGGGUAACCUGCCCUAUACACACGGAUAACGUACCGAAAGGUACGCUAAUACGAGAUAAUAUGCUUUAGUCGCAUGGCUGAAGUAUCAAAGCUCCGGCGGUAUAGGAUGGACCCGCGUCUGAUUAGCUAGUUGGUAAGGUAAUGGCUUACCAAGGCGACGAUCAGUAGCCGACCUGAGAGGGUGAUCGGCCACAUUGGAACUGAGACACGGUCCAAACUCCUACGGGAGGCAGCAGUGGGGAAUAUUGCACAAUGGGCGAAAGCCUGAUGCAAGCAACGCCGCGUGAGCGAUGAAGGCCUUCGGGUCGUAAAGCUCUGUCCUCAAGGAAGAUAAUGACGGUACUUGAGGAGGAAGCCCCGGCUAACUACGUGCCAGCAGCCGC
Molecule: ribosomal RNA, 484 nt
Filed under: uncultured bacterium
Lineage: Bacteria
Description: bacterial SSU rRNA
Rfam family: Bacterial small subunit ribosomal RNA
Source: RNAcentral